CCCUUAGAUGUUCUGGGCCACACGCGCGUUACACUGAUGAGGCCAGCGAGUAUAUCGCCUUCACCGGAAGGUGCGGGUAAUCUUGUGAAACUUCAUCGUGCUGGGGAUAGACCAUUGCAAUUAUUGGUCUUGAACGAGGAAUUCCUAGUAAGCAUGAGUCAUCAACUCGUGCUGAUUACGUCCCUGCCCUUUGUACACACCGCCCGUCGCUACUACCGAUUGAAUGGUUUAGUGAGAUCUCGGGAUUGGAGACGUUGCGCCGCAAGGCACAUCGUCCUCGAGAACUUGAUCAAACUUGAUCAUUUAGAGGAAGUAAAAGUCGUAACA
RNAcentral lists this ribosomal RNA (327 nucleotides) under uncultured eukaryote. RNAcentral describes it as "partial 18S ribosomal RNA". It matches the Rfam family "Eukaryotic small subunit ribosomal RNA", at positions 1470 to 1796 of the family's 1831-position model. The record is from RNAcentral.